This 496-nucleotide ribosomal RNA is filed under the name uncultured bacterium. RNAcentral's name for it is "partial 16S ribosomal RNA". It matches the Rfam family "Bacterial small subunit ribosomal RNA", at positions 28 to 507 of the family's 1533-position model. The record is from RNAcentral.
GAUGAACGCUGGCGGCGUGCCUAAUACAUGCAAGUCGAGCGAACAGACGAGGAGCUUGCUCCUCUGACGUUAGCGGCGGACGGGUGAGUAACACGUGGAUAACCUACCUAUAAGACUGGGAUAACUUCGGGAAACCGGAGCUAAUACCGGAUAAUAUAUUGAACCGCAUGGUUCAAUAGUGAAAGACGGUUUUGCUGUCACUUAUAGAUGGAUCCGCGCCGCAUUAGCUAGUUGGUAAGGUAACGGCUUACCAAGGCAACGAUGCGUAGCCGACCUGAGAGGGUGAUCGGCCACACUGGAACUGAGACACGGUCUAGACUCCUACGGGAGGCAGCAGUAGGGAAUCUUCCGCAAUGGCGAAAGCUUGACGGAGCAACGCCGCGUGAGUGAUGAAGGUCUUCGGAUCGUAAAACUCUGUUAUUAGGGAAGAACAAAUGUGUAAGUAACUAUGCACGUCUUGACGGUACCUAAUCAGAAAGCCACGGCUAACUACGUG